UGAACCACUACAUGACAGUGGCCUCUAACUCCAUGACGAUUUCCAUGUCAGACCCCAGCACUGGGGCAGCAGCCAUGAACAGCACAGGGAUGCCUUUGAUAAGCCUGAAUGGACAGCUGCUCACGCCAGCCCAAUCUCAGGCAUACAGACACACUCUCAUCUCUGAAUCUGGCAGGAUUUAUUCACUCUACAAGCCGGGCGCUCUUUACUGAAUUAGCAGAGUAGAGAAGGAACAGCCAGAGAAAACAUGAAUACUGACACAGGAGUCAUGGAACUUUCCUGGACAGGACACUGGAUAGAGGAGGAAACUGGGAGAGAGAGGGGGAUUGGCAUGAAGGGAAGGGGGACGCAGGCUGGAAUCAUUUCCAGGCCGCUAGCUAUAUGGGCAUGCAACUUAACCAUUAGGCCAAGCCAAUGCCCGCGCCUUGCCCUUUCUAUAUACAGCCAUAGUUUAAACUAAAGUACUUGCCUAUCCGGAAACCAAUUAAAGCAAACUGAAACCAUCAAGCCCCAUUUAAUCACAUCUAAUAGACCAUUGUAUUGUCAUCUACUUCUAUUAACUAUUAAUUUAUGGCUUUGAGAAUGUCCAUGUCAAUUACAGACCACAUCCUAUUAUAAAUCCAAUCCAUGAUUAGAAGUUCAAAAUGCCAUAUACAGUAUCAGGUCAUAAAAAGACAAAAUUACAUUGUCUUUAAAUGGACACUUCCUGAUCUAAAUCAUCUCCACCAGGUGUUUCCAAAAGCAGCAUAAUGAAGUGUAGCAUUGGUGGCAGAACAAAGCUCUUCACCUGCCAGCUAAUUAGUAAUAAUCCCCCCAGAAAGUGUAUUUUCAUUUUGAAAGAUAUUUAAAUGUUCUGCAUGCUGCCAGCUAUAAAGCAAACCUCAAUUUGGUUUCAUGCAUCAUUACACUUAUUUUCUUUGUGCUUCUUGUUUUCUUAUGCAACUCAUUCACAUGUAUCACUAUAGUCAUUUGUCAUGCUCAUAUCAGGAAUAGAACAGUUUUCCAGCCUUGUGUACCGUGAGCUUUAACUUAGCCUUAAGCUAAAUUAUUAAAUCAUUGAGAGCCCUUGAAAGGUUGGAUGUGGUUUUCUGAAGUUUGACAAACUGUAAUGUGUAGUUUGGUUUAUAAUAUCCCUGUUAACCUUAGUUGAAACCACUUUUCCUGUUCACAGAUGUAAAGAAUGUAUUGAUUCAAGAGGUGGAGUUCAGCACUUACCUGCUCUGCUGCACUGUGAGGUGCUCAGCUGGAGCGGGUUAAGUUUGAAUCAGAUCUUGAUUCUGAAGCUACACGUUCACACCAGCUGCCAUUUAGUAAAUAAUUACGUUAAAUCAGUUUGUCUCUACUUUAUUAUUCACUGCAAAUGAGAGAUUCUGUUAACUCACAGCACUGCAGGACAACAAGGGCAUUUAUGAUAGGUUCUCAUUUGAGAAAUUGAUGUUUCUAUUACAAGCAAUAAGAGCAUUGAUUGGCUGGUUUGGACUCUGAUUAGAAAGGUUAUUGGAUUGAGGCCACAGAGCAGCUGCUGAUAAGACUACAGAGGAUAUGUGGGGGAAUUAUCUCUGCAUAGCUCUUGCUGUUUAAUGCAUAUAAACACAUCAUUUUAUAGUUUAAUGGACAAAAAUGUUCAUAAGAGAAUAUUCUUCUCAUUCACUCUGCUGUGUUAGCUUUACAAGCAUACUAAAACAUGAACAUUCACACCAAAACAUGACUUCACACUCUGGUUUAAGAUUUAUUGCAGUAAUAAUUGAGAGAUUGUUUCAAUUGACUGAAGUU
This is a long non-coding RNA of Notolabrus celidotus (New Zealand spotty), 1773 nucleotides long. RefSeq lists it as uncharacterized. The record is from RefSeq and is a predicted model, not a curated record. Lineage: Eukaryota; Metazoa; Chordata; Actinopteri; Labriformes; Labridae. The transcript is spliced from 3 exons.